RNAcentral lists this ribosomal RNA (348 nucleotides) under uncultured bacterium. RNAcentral's name for it is "bacterial SSU rRNA". It matches the Rfam family "Bacterial small subunit ribosomal RNA", at positions 30 to 359 of the family's 1533-position model. The record is from RNAcentral.
AGUGAACGCUGGCGGCAGGCCUAACACAUGCAAGUCGAGCGGCAGCGGGUUCCCGCGAGGGGAUGCCGGCGAGCGGCGGACGGGUGAGGAACACAUCGGAAUCUGCCUGGUUGUGGGGGAUAACGUAGGGAAACUUACGCUAAUACCGCAUGAGACCCUGAGUCGACGGACUGGGGGUGAAAGUGAGGGACCUUCGGGCCGUCACGCGACCAGAUGAGCCGAUGUCGGAUUAGCUAGUUGGCGGGGUAACGGCCCGCCAAGGCGACGAUCCGUAGCUGGUCUGAGAGGAUGAUCAGCCACACUGGGACUGAGACACGGCCCAGACUCCUACGGGAGGCAGCAGUGGGG